RNAcentral lists this ribosomal RNA (1433 nucleotides) under Escherichia coli. RNAcentral's name for it is "partial 23S ribosomal RNA". It matches the Rfam family "Bacterial large subunit ribosomal RNA", at positions 1379 to 2797 of the family's 2925-position model. Lineage: Bacteria; Pseudomonadati; Pseudomonadota; Gammaproteobacteria; Enterobacterales; Enterobacteriaceae. The record is from RNAcentral.
GAGUCGACCCCUAAGGCGAGGCCGAAAGGCGUAGUCGAUGGGAAACAGGUUAAUAUUCCUGUACUUGGUGUUACUGCGAAGGGGGGACGGAGAAGGCUAUGUUGGCCGGGCGACGGUUGUCCCGGUUUAAGCGUGUAGGCUGGUUUUCCAGGCAAAUCCGGAAAACCAAGGCUGAGGCGUGAUGACGAGGCACUACGGUGCUGAAGCGACAAAUGCCCUGCUUCCAGGAAAAGCCUCUAAGCAUCAGGUAACAUCAAAUCGUACCCCAAACCGACACAGGUGGUCAGGUAGAGAAUACCAAGGCGCUUGAGAGAACUCGGGUGAAGGAACUAGGCAAAAUGGUGCCGUAACUUCGGGAGAAGGCACGCUGAUAUGUAGGUGAAGCGACUUGCUCGUGGAGCUGAAAUCAGUCGAAGAUACCAGCUGGCUGCAACUGUUUAUUAAAAACACAGCACUGUGCAAACACGAAAGUGGACGUAUACGGUGUGACGCCUGCCCGGUGCCGGAAGGUUAAUUGAUGGGGUUAGCGGUAACGCGAAGCUCUUGAUCGAAGCCCCGGUAAACGGCGGCCGUAACUAUAACGGUCCUAAGGUAGCGAAAUUCCUUGUCGGGUAAGUUCCGACCUGCACGAAUGGCGUAAUGAUGGCCAGGCUGUCUCCACCCGAGACUCAGUGAAAUUGAACUCGCUGUGAAGAUGCAGUGUACCCGCGGCAAGACGGAAAGACCCCGUGAACCUUUACUAUAGCUUGACACUGAACAUUGAGCCUUGAUGUGUAGGAUAGGUGGGAGGCUUUGAAGUGUGGACGCCAGUCUGCAUGGAGCCGACCUUGAAAUACCACCCUUUAAUGUUUGAUGUUCUAACGUUGGCCCGUAAUCCGGGUUGCGGACAGUGUCUGGUGGGUAGUUUGACUGGGGCGGUCUCCUCCUAAAGAGUAACGGAGGAGCACGAAGGUUGGCUAAUCCUGGUCGGACAUCAGGAGGUUAGUGCAAUGGCAUAAGCCAGCUUGACUGCGAGCGUGACGGCGCGAGCAGGUGCGAAAGCAGGUCAUAGUGAUCCGGUGGUUCUGAAUGGAAGGGCCAUCGCUCAACGGAUAAAAGGUACUCCGGGGAUAACAGGCUGAUACCGCCCAAGAGUUCAUAUCGACGGCGGUGUUUGGCACCUCGAUGUCGGCUCAUCACAUCCUGGGGCUGAAGUAGGUCCCAAGGGUAUGGCUGUUCGCCAUUUAAAGUGGUACGCGAGCUGGGUUUAGAACGUCGUGAGACAGUUCGGUCCCUAUCUGCCGUGGGCGCUGGAGAACUGAGGGGGGCUGCUCCUAGUACGAGAGGACCGGAGUGGACGCAUCACUGGUGUUCGGGUUGUCAUGCCAAUGGCACUGCCCGGUAGCUAAAUGCGGAAGAGAUAAGUGCUGAAAGCAUCUAAGCACGAAACUUGC